AAUAGAAAAUAAUUUUACUGUACAUAUACCUCUCCAAAAGGGAUGAUAUGAUUUCUAAGUAUCGUUUCGACCAUUUAAAUAUGUCUGGAUAUACUCAGAAGCAAGGAUUCGAUUAUUUUAAGAAAUUGUGUCAUUGAAUGGUCUCCAAGAAGUUGUGAGUUAUUUGAAGUCAUUGGUCUUUAACAAUAAACCAGACUCUCUUCAAGCUGAAGAAGUCAAUAUUGAACGUGCUAUUAAUGACAAAUGAUUUGUUUUAGUGGAAAAUUACUCGAAAAUUGGGUUCAUCGAAUUCCUUAACAAUUAGUGUGUUUUUGUUUAUCACUAUUAUUGGAAAACCCUGUAUUUGAAAUGAAAAAAAAACCGGAAAUAACUGAUUUAUGGAUAACUGUUUUCAAAUUCGCUCAAAAUGAAAGGGUUUUCAUUAGAAAAUCUUAAAUUCUUCUAAAAUUUUCCGGUGAUAUUCCGCGUAGCUUCCAUAUUACAGUCUUAAACAUAUACAUACAUACAUAUGUAUGUAUGAAUAUGAAGAUCACCAAAUUUAGCUUUAGGUUUAGAACCAUAAUACCAUAUUAUUUGCAACUUGAGUUUCUGCAUUCAUUCAAAUGAACAUAUGUUGCUAAUUUGCCACCAAAACAGCAGUCAUGCAUGCAAGCAGUAAUACAUAUUCAUAUAUAAAAAUAUAAGUACAUACAUAUGUAUGUAUGUAUAUUCACACGAUAUAAAUAUAACCAUAAGACGAUCAACAUUGAAUUUGCAGAAAUGAGUAGCUGUAUCCGCUCAAACAGCAUGUCUCAGAGCCGGCCUCCGCAGUGGCCAUACUUGGAUAGCUUUUCAGAAACUAGUAUUUUAUGUAUAUGUAUAAUAUAUUUGUAUGACGUUAUUUUUGUGUGUUUUGGUGUCUUUGACUUUAAAUGGUAGAGAAUUUUUUCUUGCAUCACUGGCUAGUUGUUGCGGUUUUGUAGCUCUCACCCAAUAUUUUCCAACAUUUUUAGCCGCUCCUAAGUGUGUAUAUAAAUAUAUAUACAUGUGUAACUACACAUGUAUGUGUGUAUAUGGAUGUUUUUCACAAACAUUUAGGUUGAUCUAUUUUCGCUGACGUCGCCAUCUUAAUAAAUCUAUUUUGAAAGAUGGAGAUGUAAACUAUAUUUUAGGCUCUUCCAAAAUGGAAAUGCUUUGAGAGUACGCUAUGCAGCCAACUAACUGCACAUGUGCGUAUGUAUAUGUAUGUAUUUAAUUGUAUGUACAUAUGUAUGUAUGCAUCUACCUUUCACGACUUCUACUCGUUGAAGUAGAAACAAACCAAAAAUUUAAUAAGAUAAUGAACGAAAGUGGCAGAUGUUCGCCUUUAACGAAAUUUCUUAAUUAUUAAAUGAUUUUUUUGCUGAAAUACCGUUAAAAAAUAAAAUAGCUGUUUACAAAUUUUCGAAAGAGCUCAGUUAAGGAGGUAAAUUUAGUAAUAAUGAUAUGAUAUUAGUAUUAAUAUGAUACUAUGCGUACAUACAUAUGUACAUAUGUAUGUAUACUCGUAUGUGUAUGUAGACAUUCACGUCUUUCUAUUAAAUGGCGUACACUUUCAUUCUACAAAAAUUAUCAACUCUAUUACUUGAUAAAACCGUGGAAAACACAACAAAUAUUUCGAUAAAAAUAUAUUUAGACAUACAUAUGUACAUACAAAUGCAUAUUUGCAGCGGUUACGAUUUGUUAAAAUUUAUUUUCGAAUAAAACAAAAAUCUGGUAUUAGUUCCAUAUGUUCAGUUCCCUACUACCGGAAUAAUCACUUUCAAUAUCCGGCUUUCAUUGUUUUCAUUCUAUCCUCAGGCGGAAAUAUCCGCUGCCUGGCAUGAGUUAUCAGUAUCAUUAUUUAGACAUAUUGAGGAGCGAAAUGGAACCAUUUGCUUUCAAUUUCAUGUCCCUUGGCUGGACUUUUAUGCAGGAUAAUGACCCAAAGCACACAGCGAAGGUCAUAAAGGAUUGGCUUAAGAGAAAAAACAAAUGUUUUGGAUUGGCCAACGCAAAGCCCUGACCUUAAUCCAAUAGAAAACUUAUAGAACGAUGUUAAACUUAAAACUCCUGCUAAAAAUUUCAGAAAUUUUGAGAAUUUAUGGGAAGGUAUUGGUAAACCAUCUCAAAGGGGAGAUGAAAGAAGCUUGUAGAAAGCAUAGUACUGAGAUGUAAUGCUGCGAUUGGAAAUCGGGGAUAUAGGACCUAGUAUAAAAAACGUUUUGUAAAUUGUGCAACUUGAAUAUUCAAUACUAAUUAUUUGUGAAUUACUAUUGUAUGUACAUAAGUGCACACCUUAAAAGCUCGCUCAACACAUUUACAAUGAAUGCGGAAAAAGUAUUGAUUUUUUAGAGGGCAAACACUGCGUUGGAACGUUUGAAGAAGAAAGGAUAAUGCGGCAAACAGAGAAUCCUAUGAGUCAUGCCUAUAUGUAUGUAAAUAUAACGGCCGGCUACCUAGCGACAGCUAUGUAGGCUCAGCCAACGCUUUGAUGAUGAUGAUGUCAUGUGCGCAUAAAUACUUCACUUCACGUUGGUGUUGUUAUAAACAUGCGAUGUAGUCACCAAUGACGA
Long non-coding RNA from Bactrocera neohumeralis, 2573 nucleotides. RefSeq lists it as uncharacterized. The record is from RefSeq and is a predicted model, not a curated record. The transcript is spliced from 3 exons. NCBI's taxonomy places the organism in Eukaryota, Metazoa, Arthropoda, Insecta, Diptera, Tephritidae.